CCUACGGGUGGCUGCAGUGAGGAAUAUUGGUCAAUGGGCGUAAGCCUGAACCAGCCAAGUCGCGUGAGGGAUGAAGGUUCUAUGGAUCGUAAACCUCUUUUAUAAGGGAGUAAAGUGUGGGACGUGUCCUGUUUUGUAUGUACCUUAUGAAUAAGGAUCGGCUAACUCCGUGCCCGCAGCCGCGGUAAUACGGAGGAUCCGAGCGUUAUCCGGAUUUAUUGGGUUUAAAGGGUGCGUAGGCGAGCUUUUAAGUCAGCUGUGAAAGUCUGUGGCUUAACCAUAGAAUUGCCGUUGAAACUGGGAGGCUUGAGUAUGGGAGAGGCAGGCGGAAUGCGUGGUGUAGCGGUGAAAUGCUUAGAUAUCACGCAGAACCCCGAUUGCGAAGGCAGCCUGCCAAGCCAUGACUGACGCUGAUGCACGAAAGCGUGGGGAUCAAACAGGAUUAGAUACCCGUGUAGUC
Molecule: ribosomal RNA, 460 nt
Filed under: uncultured bacterium
Lineage: Bacteria
Description: partial 16S ribosomal RNA
Rfam family: Bacterial small subunit ribosomal RNA
Source: RNAcentral